AACGAACGCUGGCGGCAGGCCUAACACAUGCAAGUCGAGCGCGCCCUUCGGGGUGAGCGGCGGACGGGUGAGUAACGCGUGGGAACGUGCCCUUUUCUACGGAAUAGCCUCGGGAAACUGAGAGUAAUACCGUAUACGCCCUUUGGGGGAAAGAUUUAUCGGAAAAGGAUCGGCCCGCGUUGGAUUAGGUAGUUGGUGGGGUAAUGGCCUACCAAGCCGACGAUCCAUAGCUGGUUUGAGAGGAUGAUCAGCCACACUGGGACUGAGACACGGCCCAGACUCCUACGGGAGGCAGCAGUGGGGAAUCUUAGACAAUGGGGGCAACCCUGAUCUAGCCAUGCCGCGUGAGUGAUGAAGGCCUUAGGGUUGUAAAGCUCUUUCAGCUGGGAAGAUAAUGACGGUACCAGCAGAAGAAGCCCCGGCUAACUCCG
This 431-nucleotide ribosomal RNA is filed under the name uncultured bacterium. Its description in RNAcentral is "partial 16S ribosomal RNA". It matches the Rfam family "Bacterial small subunit ribosomal RNA", at positions 29 to 505 of the family's 1533-position model. The record is from RNAcentral.